Molecule: ribosomal RNA, 494 nt
Filed under: uncultured bacterium
Lineage: Bacteria
Description: partial 16S ribosomal RNA
Rfam family: Bacterial small subunit ribosomal RNA
Source: RNAcentral
GACGAACGCUGGCGGCGCGCUUAACACAUGCAAGUCGAACGGAAAGGCCUGCUUUCCCUUGUGGAUUGCGGGUACUCGAGUGGCGAACGGGUGAGUAACACGUGAGUGAUCUGCCCCCAACUUGGGUAUAAGCCUGGGAAACUGGGUCUAAUUCCCGAUAGGACUGCAGGGUGGUGCCUGUGGUGGAAAACGAUUUUCUAGUGGUUGGGGAUGAGCUCGCGGCCUAUCAGCUUGUUGGUGGGGUAAUGGCCUACCAAGGCGGCGACGGGUAGCCGGCCUGAGGGGGUGGACGGCCACAUUGGGACUGAGAUACGGCCCAGACUCCGACGGGAGGCAGCAGUGGGGAAUAUUGGAAGAUGGGCGGAAGCCUGAUGCAGCGACGCCGCGUGGGGGAUGACGGGCUUCGGGUUGUAAACUCCUUUCGACCGCGAGGAAGCCACCUGGUUGGAAGGGUGGUGACGGUAGUGGUAGAAGAAGCACCGGCUAACUACGUG